Molecule: long non-coding RNA, 1098 nt
Filed under: Apteryx haastii (Great spotted kiwi)
Lineage: Eukaryota; Metazoa; Chordata; Aves; Apterygiformes; Apterygidae
Description: lncRNA (ENSAHAG00000006657.1)
Source: RNAcentral
AUGCGGUGCUCCUGCACGUACGGCCCAGCCGGCCACGGCUGCGCUGGAGACGGCAGCCCGGGAGGGGGCCAGGGAGGUCGGUGCAGGAGGAYGCGGCACCCUGGCUGCCGAGGGCAGGUGAUGCACCAGUCACGCUGCGUCCCAUCCACCUGCGGCCUCGCGCAGAGCCCUUCCCGGGGCCGGCUGGGUUGGCUCAGCUCGGCUCGGCGGUCCCAGCACGCUUCCCGUCGGUGCCAGCUCUGCCGACUGAGCACAUUUUCAUCAGAGCUCAGCAGCGGUGCCAGCACCCCCGUGCCCAGGUUAGCGUGCAUGCGGACAUGCCUGUGUGCGGCGCAGCACGGCAUGGCAGGGGGAUGCACCAGGGUGCAURGGUGCGCCCUGUCCUCCGGCUCCGCACCCCUCGGGCAGGUCCCUGCUCCGUGGGYGCGUGGGGCUCAUGUGGUCCCGGGGUGGCUCUGUGCUGGCGGGGGCCCAGGGGCACACUGCUGCUCUGGCACGGAUUCRGUGCCAACGUCCCAAGCACCAAGUGGCCCGAGGCAGUGCUCCAUGGAGAGCUGCGGAGCAGGUCCUGGGCCCCCCACCGCCUCCCAGAGCUGGCUGUGCCAUGCCAUGUUGUGCCAUGCUGUGCUGUGCCAUGCCAUGCCAUGCCAUGUUGUGCCAUGCCGUGCCAUGUCGUGCCAUGCUGUGCCAUGCCGUGCUGCGCCGUGCUGUGCCAGUGGGCUGUGCCGCUGCCCCGCACCCAGCGACUCCCUGCCCUUGCAGAUCCCCAGCUCAGUCUGGCUUUGUGGAGCCGCUGCCUCCUUGCUGCUGGUGCCAACAGCUCACGUCUGUCUCCAGCACYGUCGUGCCGGCUUCCACCAGGCCAGCUCUCCACAGCCCGAACUGGCGCCAAGCUCCUCUCCCCCGUUAGCUGCUCCUCUGAUCCACAGGCAGAAGGCAACUUGCUGGCCAAGCUCUCCUGGAAGAGCUGAGCUUGUCGCUGGCUCUCGUCCAUGCUUAGAGCAAUUUAAUAUCAGCGGCAGGAGGGGAUGGGGAAUCGGUUUUGAUCGCUGUCGCCCCUUCCAGCCACAGCCGCAGGCGCGCGGUGCCGUGCGGUGA